Molecule: ribosomal RNA, 468 nt
Filed under: uncultured bacterium
Lineage: Bacteria
Description: bacterial SSU rRNA
Rfam family: Bacterial small subunit ribosomal RNA
Source: RNAcentral
GAUGAACGCUGGCGGCGUGCUUAACACAUGCAAGUCGAACGAAGAAAUUUAGAAUGAGAGCUUCGGCAGGAUUUCUUCUUUUCUUAGUGGCGGACGGGUGAGUAACGUGUGGGCAACCUGCCCUGUACUGUGGAAUAAUCACUGGAAACGGUGACUAAUACCGCAUGUCAUCACCGGAGGGCAUCCUCUGGUGAAAAAAGGAUUUAUUCGGUACAGGAUGGGCCCGCAUCUGAUUAGCUAGUUGGUGAGAUAACAGCCCACCAAGGCGACGAUCAGUAGCCGACCUGAGAGGGUGAUCGGCCACACUGGGACUGAGACACGGCCCAGACUCCUACGGGAGGCAGCAGUGGGGAAUAUUGCACAAUGGGGGAAACCCUGAUGCAGCAACGCCGCGUGAAGGAUGAAGGUUUUCGGAUCGUAAACUUCUGUCCUAUGUGAGAGAAGAAGACGGUAGCAUAGGAGGAAGCU